CGUCCUACGGGAGGCAGCAGUGGGGAAUAUUGCACAAUGGGGGAAACCCUGAUGCAGCGACGCCGCGUGAGUGAAGAAGGAUUUCGGUUCGUAAAGCUCUGUUGUUAGGGAAGAAUGAUUGUGUAGUAACUAUACACAGUAGAGACGGUACCUAACCAGAAAGCCACGGCUAACUACGUGCCAGCAGCCGCGGUAAUACGUAGGUGGCAAGCGUUGUCCGGAAUUAUUGGGCGUAAAGCGCGCGCAGGUGGUUUAAUAAGUCUGAUGUGAAAGCCCACGGCUCAACCGUGGAGGGUCAUUGGAAA
RNAcentral lists this ribosomal RNA (305 nucleotides) under uncultured bacterium. Its description in RNAcentral is "bacterial SSU rRNA". It matches the Rfam family "Bacterial small subunit ribosomal RNA", at positions 335 to 632 of the family's 1533-position model. The record is from RNAcentral.